GUGCCAGCAGCCGCGGUAAUACGAAGGGGGCUAGCGUUGUUCGGAAUCACUGGGCGUAAAGGGCGCGUAGGCGGGCCCCUAAGUCGAGGGUGAAAUCCUGUGGCUCAACCACAGAACGGCCUUCGAUACUGGGAGCCUGGAGUUCGAGAGAGGUUGGUGGAACUGCGAGUGUAGAGGUGAAAUUCGUAGAUAUUCGCAAGAACACCAGUGGCGAAGGCGACCAACUGGCUCGAUACUGACGCUGAGGCGCGAAAGCAUGGGGAGCAAACAGGAUUAGAUACCCGUGUAGUCC
RNAcentral lists this ribosomal RNA (292 nucleotides) under uncultured bacterium. RNAcentral's name for it is "partial 16S ribosomal RNA". It matches the Rfam family "Bacterial small subunit ribosomal RNA", at positions 505 to 796 of the family's 1533-position model. The record is from RNAcentral.